AUGAACGCUGGCGGCGUGCCUAAUACAUGCAAGUCGAGCGAACAGACGAGGAGCUUGCUCCUCUGAUGUUAGCGGCGGACGGGUGAGUAACACGUAGAUAACCUACCUAUAAGACUGGGAUAACUUCGGGAAACCGGAGCUAAUACCGGAUAACAUGUUGAACCGCAUGGUUCAACAGUGAAAGACGGUCUUGCUGUCACUUAUAGAUGGAUCCGCGCCGCAUUAGCUAGUUGGUAAGGUAACGGCUUACCAAGGCAACGAUGCGUAGCCGACCUGAGAGGGUGAUCGGCCACACUGGAACUGAGACACGGUCCAGACUCCUACGGGAGGCAGCAGUAGGGAAUCUUCCGCAAUGGGCGAAAGCCUGACGGAGCAACGCCGCGUGAGUGAAGAAGGUCUUCGGAUCGUAAAACUCUGUUAUUAGGGAAGAACAAAUGUGUAAGUAACUAUGCACGUCUUGACGGUACCUAAUCAGAAAGCCACGGCUAACUACGUG
This 496-nucleotide ribosomal RNA is filed under the name uncultured bacterium. RNAcentral describes it as "partial 16S ribosomal RNA". It matches the Rfam family "Bacterial small subunit ribosomal RNA", at positions 29 to 507 of the family's 1533-position model. The record is from RNAcentral.